RNAcentral lists this ribosomal RNA (3168 nucleotides) under Patescibacteria group bacterium. RNAcentral's name for it is "23S ribosomal RNA". It matches the Rfam family "Bacterial large subunit ribosomal RNA". The record is from RNAcentral.
AAAGUUACUCAAGAGCACAUGAAGGAUGCCUUGACGUAAGAAGCCGAAGAAGGACGUAGAAGGCUGCGAUAAGCCUCGGUGAGCUGUCUAUCAAGCUUUGACCCGGGGAUUUCCGAAUGGGGCAACCCGGCGGUGGUAAUACAUCGUCACCCCUAUCUGAAUCUAUAGGAUAGGAGGAGGGCACCACCCGAACUGAAACAUCUAAGUAGGGUGAGGAAGAGAGAGAAACCUCAAUUCCGUAAGUAGCGGCGAGCGAAAGCGGAAGAGCCAAAACCUUUUUAACUUUUGCGUGGCAACACGUAAAUAAGCUGGCAGGCGAAUGUUAACAAGGGGUUGUGAGAUACAAACGACCAUUACACAGCGCUGUCUGUAAAGAAAGCUCUGUGUAAUGCGACCAGCAACUGCCACAGGUCUGGGUAAGGUAAGAAAACGAAGUUGUUAGCGGAAGUGUCUGGAAAGGCACACCAAAGAGGGUGAAAGUCCCGUACUCGAAAACACUUUGUCCUUAUGUUUGUAUUCUCGAGUAGGUCGGGACACGUGAAACCCUGAUUGAAUCUAGGAGGACCACCUCCUAAGGCUAAAUACUUCUUACGAUCGAUAGUGAACCAGUACCGUGAGGGAAAGGCGAAAAGAACCCCGGAAGGGGAGUGAAAUAGAACCUGAAAUCAUGUGCUUACAAUGAGUCGGAGCAGCCUUGUGCUGUGACGGCGUGCUUUUUGUAGAACGAUCCAGCGAGUUAAUUGGUACAGCGUUAGGUUAAGCCAUCUGGCGAAGCCGUAGUGAAAGCGAGGGUUAAUAGCCCGCCAUAGUUGUGCCGAUUAGACCCGAAACCGGGUGACCUAACCAUGGGCAGGUUGAAGCGUGGGUAACACUACGUGGAGGACCGAACCAGGGCAUGUUGCAAAAUGCUUGGAUGACCUGUGGUUAGCGGAGAAAUUCCAAUCGAACUCGGAGAUAGCUGGUUCUCCGCGAAAUAGCUUUAGGGCUAGCGUCACGAACUACCUCUCGGGGGUAGAGCUCUGAUUGGGUCUGGGGCCCUCACGGGUACCCAUCCCUGUCAAACUGCGAAUACCGAGAGAGACUACCGUGGCAGUCAGUACAUCGGGGCUAAGCUCGAUGCACGAAAGGGAAACAGCCCAGACCAUCGUCUAAGGUCCCUAAAUAUACGCUCAGUGGGAAACGAUGUGGAGACGCAUAAACAACCAGGAUGUGGGCUUAGAAGCAGCCAUGCAUUUAAAGAGUGCGUAACAGCUCACUGGUCAAUGGUGACUCCGCGCGGAAAAUGUAACGGGGCUAAGCGUAUUACCGAAGACAUGGAUUUUAGUUUAACUAAAGUGGUAGCGGAGCGUUCCUCUUGCGCUGAAGCCGAGCCGAAAGGCCAGGUGGAGCGGGGGGAAGUGAGAAUGCUGGAAUGAGUAACCAUAAGGCAGGUGAGAAUCCUGCCCACCGUAAGAGCAAGGUUUCCUGGGCAACGAUCGUCGUCCCAGGGUCAGUCGGGCCUAAGCCGAGGCGAGUAGCGUAGGCGAUGGACAACCGGUUAAUAUUCCGGUACCGGCGAUAGUUUUGCGUACAGGUGCGCGGCAUGGUAGCCAGAGCAGACUUUGGAUAUGUCUGUCUAAGUGUGUAGUCUUCGGAUGAAGCACGAAUGAAAGACCGGUAAAACGGUUGAUUCAGGUGAGCCAAGCCGACCAGAAAAGCCUGUACGUGCCAAGCUAUAGCCGCCCGUACCGCAAACCAACACAGGUGCUCGGGUCGAGUAGACCAAGGUGUACGAGAGAACCCUUCUUAAGGAACUCGGCAAUACAGCGACCGUAACUUCGGGAUAAGGUCUGCCUAGCUUGCUAGGCCGCAGCGAAAGAGUCCAGGCGACUGUUUAUCAAAAACACAGGUCUGUGCUAACACGAAAGUGGAUGUAUACGGGCUGACGCCUGCCCGGUGCUGGAAGGUUAAGGGGAUGUGUGCAAGCACUGAACUGAAGCCCCAGUAAACGGCGGCGGUAACUAUAACCGUCCUAAGGUAGCGAAAUUCCUUGUCAGGUAAGUUCUGACCCGCACGAAUGGCGUAACGAUCUGGACACUGUCUCAAGAAGGGACUCGGUGAAAUUGCAAUGCCGGUAAAGAUGCCGGCUACCCGCACCAAGACGGAAAGACCCCGUGGAGCUUUACUACAACUUGGCAUUGGGCCGGGUUGCAGCAUGUGUAGGAUAGGUGGGAGGCUUUGAAGCGUAGGCGCUAGCUUACGUGGAGCCACCAGUGAAAUACCACCCUUGCUGUAAUCUUGUCCUAACCUGGACCGCAACAAGCGGACAAGGUAACAAGGCAAAUUGAAGAAAGCCCACAUCUUUACCGAUCUUGAUUCGCAGACCUAUAACUCGCUGUGAGAGGAAAUAGGUGAGUCAAGAUCAAAAAGUCGUGGUUAGUUUUUCUUCUAUGUUUUCGCAACAUUUGCUUUGUUAGAUUGUUUGCCCGUUUGUUCCGGUUCAGGAACAGUGUCUGGUGGGUAGUUUAACUGGGGCGGUUGCCUCCUAAAGAGUAACGGAGGCGUUCAAAGGUUGACUAGGUACGGAUGGAAAUCGUAUCGAUAGUGCAAGCGCAUAAGUCAGCUUGACUGCGAGGCCUACAAGCCGAGCAGGUGCGAAAGCAGGAGCUAGUGAUCCGCUGUCACACGAGGAAUUUAUUCCUCAGAAUGUGGAAUCGGCAGCGCUCAACGGACAAAAGCUACCCCGGGGAUAACAGGCUUAUAGCGCCCAAGCGUUCACAGCGACGGCGCUGUUUGGCACCUCGAUGUCGGCUCGUCUCAUCCUGGGGGUGAAGCAGCUCCCAAGGGUAUGGCUGUUCGCCAUUUAAAGAGGUACGCGAGCUGGGUUCAGAACGUCGUGAGACAGUUCGGUCCCUAUCUGGUGUGGGCGUAGGAAAUUUGCGGAGGUUUGCCCCUAGUACGAGAGGACCGGGGUGAACGAACCUCUGGUGUACCGGUUGUUCCACCAGGAGCAUCGCCGGGUAGCUAUGUUCGGUUGCGAUAAGUGCUGAAUGCAUAUAAGCACGAAGCCAUCUCCAAGAUAAGAUUUCCCCAUGAGACCCCAGAAAGACGAUCUGGUUGAUAGGCACUAGGUGUAAGCGUAGUAAUACGUUCAGCCGAGGUGUACUAAUCGGUCCAUCGACUUUUUUA